GACGAACGCUGGCGGCGUGCUUAACACAUGCAAGUCGAACGGAAAGGCCCUGCUUGCCGGGUGCUCGAGUGGCGAACGGGUGAGUAACACGUGGGUGAUCUGCCCCUUACUUUGGGAUAAGCCUGGGAAACUGGGUCUAAUACUGGAUAGGACCAUGCUGUAGGUGGUGUGGUGGAAAGAUUAGUUUCGGUAAGGGAUGAGCUCGCGGCCUAUCAGCUUGUUGGUGGGGUAAUGGCCUACCAAGGCGUCGCCGGGUAGCCGGCCUGAGGGGGUGGACGGCCACCUUGGGACUGAGAUACGGCCCAGACGCCUACGGGAGGCAGCAGUGGGGAAUAUUGCACAAUGGGCGCAAGCCUGAUGCAGCGACGCCGCGGGGGGGAUGACGGCCUUCGGGUUGUAAACUCCUUGCAGCCAUGACGAAGCCCUUGUGGUGACGGUAGUGGUAGAAGAAGCACCGGCUAACUACGUG
Molecule: ribosomal RNA, 469 nt
Filed under: uncultured bacterium
Lineage: Bacteria
Description: partial 16S ribosomal RNA
Rfam family: Bacterial small subunit ribosomal RNA
Source: RNAcentral